GGGUGGCAGCCGCACGCCCCCGAUGUCCGACUCGGGAGGAGCCGCGCCGCCGCCGCCGCGUGCAGAGGACGCGAGGCACACGGCGGCUCGUACCUGAUAUGUUUGUAACAUGUUUCUUUACAUUUGUAUUCAAAAUAGAAAAAAUAAUACACGCAUGACUAGUACCUUUGCAUGUCUUUCAUACAAGCAUCAGAAACCAACUAAUACGAGGCGGGCGAUGGAGCCGCCGUCGGCUACUCGAGCUCGGCGGCGCGGACGAACCCUAGCCAGUCGGCGGCGCCCCCGAGCACUACCGGCGCCGCCGCGGCACCGGGCUGCAGCGAGAGCAUCUCCGCCUCCCUAGGGAGCCGCCGGUCGGCCGGCCAGAUCGCCGAGCGAGGGAGAGGAGGGGAAUUGCUUCCAGCGCCUUCGAGAGGUUGGGG
Molecule: long non-coding RNA, 422 nt
Filed under: Oryza brachyantha (malo sina)
Lineage: Eukaryota; Viridiplantae; Streptophyta; Magnoliopsida; Poales; Poaceae
Description: long non-coding RNA (OBRA_LNC002700)
Source: RNAcentral